Molecule: ribosomal RNA, 410 nt
Filed under: uncultured microorganism
Description: bacterial SSU rRNA
Rfam family: Bacterial small subunit ribosomal RNA
Source: RNAcentral
CAGCAGCCGCGGUAAUACGUAGGUGGCAAGCGUUGUCCGGAAUUAUUGGGCGUAAAGCGCGCGCAGGCGGUCUCUUAAGUCUGAUGUGAAAGCCCCCGGCUCAACCGGGGAGGGUCAUUGGAAACUGGGAGACUUGAGUGCAGAAGAGAAGAGUGGAAUUCCACGUGUAGCGGUGAAAUGCGUAGAGAUGUGGAGGAACACCAGUGGCGAAGGCGACUCUUUGGUCUGUAACUGACGCUGAGGCGCGAAAGCGUGGGGAGCAAACAGGAUUAGAUACCCUGUUAGUCCACGCCGUAAACGAUGAGUGCUAAGUGUUAGAGGGUUUCCGCCCUUUAGUGCUGCAGCUAACGCAUUAAGCACUCCGCCUGGGGAGUACGGCCGCAAGGCUGAAACUUAAAGGAAUUGGCGGG